CAGAGGUGACGUCACAAAAGAUCAACAGACAAAUUAUUUCUCAGCUGAUUAACUUAUAUCGGCUGACUAACUUGGGUGAACGAAUACCUGCCUAUGAUGGUAUGAAGAGCAUUUACACUGCAGGGCCGCUGCCUUUUGAAUCGAAGGAAUUCAUUAUCACGUUACCUGAUAGUGAUCCUCGUCCCAGCUCAUCUGCCAGCCCGGGGUAUCUCAUGCUUUUAACACGUGUGUUUCUUGAAUAUUGUUGAUUGUGAGUUUUCUUGAUUUAAUGUGUCGAGUGAUUUCUUAUGCAGAACGGAGCGUCAGUUUAGGGUGGUUAUCAGAUUGGCGUCGCAGCCUUAUGUUUACACUCUACAGAAGUUCAUACAAGUGCUUGAUGUUGUUCUCAGAGCAGCUCCAUCAGAGAAGUAUUUAACCUUAACUGUGUUAAUAAAAGUUUCACUUUUUGGUAUGUAUGAUAUAGGAUGUUCCGUGCCCAUGCCAGCAUUUGCUUGUUCAUGCAACUGAUUGAGCAUUUGAUUUCUGAGGAACAAUUUUAUUAUUGUCUAUUUUGUGCCUUGAACAAUUUAGGUUUUAGAAUGGUUAAUUAAUGAAAUGAUGAACUUCUGCAUCAGGCAUACAGUUGUGGGAAGGUCAUUUUUCUCAACUGAUCUUGGACCAAUGGGUCAGCUUGGUGAUGGCAUUGAAUAUUGGCGUGGAUAUUUUCAGAGUCUUCGCCCAACCCAAUUUGGGCUAUCUCUUAAUAUUGGUUUUUCUCAUUAUAUUUUAUAUAAUUUGAUGCUGCUUAUCUUUAUAUUAUCCAAGCUUGAUUUUUUCUUUUUUAGGUGCAGCACUGCUACAUAAAUAUUUGCUUUUGCUGUUGCAGAUGUUUCAGCCAGCUCCUUUUAUAAGCCAAUUCUAGUUACUGAGUUUGUUCAGUAUUAUUGCAGCGACUUAUCACGUCCUCUUUCUGAUCAAGUGCGUCUGAAGGUAUUGUCUAGUCUUCUUUCGUGAUGUCAUGGUUAUAAUUAAUUUAGUAUCAACUUAAUGAGCUAUCUAUUGGGCGGUUAAAAGUUUUAAUUGAGGGCUGCAGCACCGUAAUAUAUUUGUGAUAAGAGCCUUUUCAAAGAAUGAUCACAGAUUUGUUAGGCAAACCGUUCAGUAAUGUUUUAGAUGCUGUGUAUAAUUAAUUGCAAGUAAUUAGCAGUUUAAAAUUUCAAAUUUCUUGCAAAUUUUGGAUAGGGUAAUUUCUUAAUUUGUGGCUGAACUGGUGGGUAGUGAGUAGUGUUGUUCUCGGCCAUUGAAAUCUAAAUAGAAUGAGCUCCCAAGUCUAGGGGGAAUAGAAUGUUGAUGACAGUGUUUGAUGAUUAAUGUAGGAAGUUGGUGUAUAAUUUGGCCUAUAAUUCUGAUGAUAAAGAAAUGAGAUCUUGAAAUGGCGGUUUUAAAAAUCUUCCACGCAUUCAUUUGCAAUUGUACAGUUAUCUUGAUCAACUUAUUAUCAUUCCGUUACGUAUAUUAGCAAUCUUUUGAACUAUCUGUAAAAUUUUUACUUUCGAUCUAUUUUGGCCGCUAUUUGACAACCGCCCUUUAAUUAUUUUCAAAAUUAUUGCUGGGAAUGGGAUAGAGACAUGUGGUCAAUGAUAUUAAUAUACUUGUUUAAUUCUUGACUUCUAGGUGAAAAAGGCAUUGAAGGGAAUAAAGGUAGUGCUCAGGCAUAUGGGGUACAACUUAAGUUGCAAGAUCACUGGAAUAACCAGUCAACCGAUGAGCCAAGUAAUGUAUGUGUGUGUGUAAUUAACUGAUAUACAAGUGUAAGAACACUGUCCAACGUGUGGUGAUAGAGUGUGAUAACAUAACUUGGUGGUUUGGUUGUGUUUAUGUUGGUCGAUUUGUUUAUGUUAGCUGAUUCUUGAGUCCCCCACGCCAUUUGAGAAGCAUACUUUAUGUUGCCUGCUUUUGUCGUCAUCUGAAAUCCACAUAUGGUUAAAUUUGUCUUUUGUGUUGUAUUUUAUGUAUGAUUGAACUACUUGGUGGUAAAAAGUUUGGCGGAUGUGUCUCAAAUCAAUUUCUCAAAUCUGAUAUGUGAUAGUAGUUGGCUACUAUGUAGUGCGAUGGUCACUUGAUAUUGCCUGUAACAGUGAUGUAUCCCUCCUUCCAUGUUAUAGUCGGAAUUCACGUUAUAUCUUCCCUUUGAUUGUAUUUGCUAGGUUUACUUGUGACAAUGAGACAAGGUCGGUGGUUCAAUAUUUUCUUGAAAAACAUAAAAUUGCGCUUCAAUUCACGUCAUUGCCUGCCCUUGAAGCUGGAACUGAAGAGAGGCGCAUUUAUUUGCCAAUGGAGGUUCUAUGAUCAAAAGACUACUUUCGUUCUUUGUGUCUGGAAAAUAAUUUAUUUAAGACUUAUUUAUAGAAUAUUUUUGUUUACAGCUUUCUAGGAUUGUCGAGGGACAGAGAUAUACUAAAAGAUUAAAUGAAAGACAAGUAACUGCUCUUUUAAGAGCAACCUGUCAGCGUCCUCAGGAUCGUGAAGCAAAUAUACAGAUGGUAGAGCAUUGUUGUAAUUUCUUACAUCUGUGGUGGAUCUUUUUUGGAUGAUUAAUCUGGGAGCUAUCUUCUUGUGAACAAAGAGAGUUUCUGAUUCUUGCUUCUGGGUUUGACAUUCUUCUGCAGAUGGCUAGGGAAAAUGCUUACAAUGAAGAUACUCUUGUGAACAGAGAGUUUGGAAUUCAAGUGGUUGAUGGUCUUACAUCGGUUAAUGCUCGAAUCCUACCUGCUCCAAUGGUAAUUAUGUGUCAUUUUGUUUUAUUUGUAACAGGAUUAUGGUACUUCCAAUCUCCUUAUGCUUAACUUUACCUCCUGUAAUGCUGCAGCUUAAAUAUCAUGAAACUGGCCAAGAAGCAAGCGUGAAUCCUGAUUUUGGGCAAUGGAACAUGAUUAACAAGGUGAAUUACUGAUUAUUAUUUUAUUCUGUAGCUGUUGAUUUGUGCUUAGGAAGAGCAUAGGGAAGCAGUUUCCACUUGUUUAAAUUGGUUGAGGGAUGUUUAUUGACUGAUGGGUAGGAUGGGUUGGAAGUUGAUUUGCUAAAUUUGAUGCAAUGUGGAUGUGCUGCAUUUCCUUUGCAACCAUAAUUUUUUUAUUUUUUUUUUCAUUUUAGCAUGCUGUAAUUUCUAUUUAGUUAUAUACUUUUUCAUCUUUGACAAGCAUUGUAUCUGAUAUUCACUUAGGUAUUUGGAUUGUAUGUGCUUGGUGUUCAGCUCAAUCCACUUUGCCUUCUGAAGGAGAAGCUUUUAUUUGUUUACACUGAAUUAUUUUGUGUAAUUUUGGUUGUACAGAAAAUGUUCAAUGGUGGGAGGGUGGAAGUUUGGACUUGUAUGAACUUCUCAACGUGUUUGAACCAGGAUGUGAUCGGGUUCUGUCAACGGUUGGUAGAUAUGUGCAAUAGAAAGGGAAUGGUAUGGUAAUGUUAAUGGUAUGGUAAUGUUAUUUGUUUUGCAAUGGUAUGGUAAUGUUAUUUGUUUUGCAAUUCAUGCUAGCAAUUUAGGUUAAUGGUCUCUCUGAACCGACUUUUUUCUUUUGGGGGGUCUGUGUUUAUCAUGCCAGGUAUUUAACCGGCGGCCUGUCAUUCCCAUAAGUUCAUACAACCCAUAUCAAAUUGAGAAGGCACUUGUAGACGUUCACAAUAAGACUACACAGCCAGGGAAACAGCUUCAGCUGUUGAUAAUUAUUUUACCAGAUGUUCGCGGAUCAUAUGGUGAGUGAUAAAUUUAAUCAAGGAUUAAACUUUAAUGUCAGCUUUGGUUUUGUUCAACAUUAUCGGCUUUCUGCUCGCAGGAAGAAUUAAGCGAGUUUGUGAAACGGAACUUGGGAUUGUUUCACAAUGCUGUCAGCCUAAGCACGCAUCCAGUCGCAACAUGCAGUAUUUUGAAAAUGUGGCUCUUAAAAUCAAUGUGAAGGUUUGCUUUGCCCCCAUUUUUUUGCGUGUUCAUUAUCAUGGUUAAUAUUUGAGAACCAAUACAAGGGUUGGCAGGAAAACAUGUAGGAGAUGAAUUUUUUUUUUUUUUUGGCAAUUUAAUUUCAGUCUUGAUUUGCUGUAAUUAUUGUAAUUUUUUUUUUCAAAUAAUCAAAUUCUGAUGUUCAAGAUAUUUUUAUAAGUGUUUGGGAGUGCCAAAAUUUCUUGUUAAAAUUGAUAGGUUUGCUUAUUGGUACUGGAGAUUCAGUUUGCUAUUUGUAAUUUUAUCAGGUUGGAGGACGAAACACUGUGCUCGAUGAUGCUGUUCAGAAAAGAAUUCCUCUUGUGACUGAUAGACCUACAAUUAUAUUUGGUGCAGAUGUCACCCAUCCACAACCAGGAGAAGACUCUAGCCCUUCAAUAGUGGCCGUAUGUGCACUCAUUUUCUGUUUCUGCUUUCUAGUAAUUCACUCUGUUGAAAGAUUGAAUUGACUGAGACAGGUGGUGGCCUCAAUGGAUUGGCCAGAAGUAACCAAGUACAGAGGACUUGUCUCUGCUCAGGCACAUAAUGAGGAAAUUAUCCAAGAUCUCUAUAAAUCUAUUCAAGAUCCUCAGAGGGGUUUAGUUCAUGGAGGGAUGAUCAGGUUAGUAGGCAUGGAAGUACAUAUCAGGUGCCUUAUUAUUAAGAGAACCUUAUGCUUCUGUUUGUCUUUACAGGGAACUGUUAAUUGCCUUCAAAAUAUCAACCAACCGUAAACCUGAGAGUAUUAUUUUCUACCGGUAAUGGCUGUUUUCAAUGUUAAACUGCAUGUUUUGUAGAAUGUUACUGAUGUUGUUUCAUUUAUGUGCCAGAGAUGGUGUUAGUGAAGGGCAGUUCAGUCAGGUUUUGCUCCAUGAAAUGAAUGCUAUCCGACUGGUAAUGCUGAUGAGUCCUGAAGUUAAUACAAUUUUCUUGUGUUCUAGAGAUUUUCAAUACCUAGUUUCAGUUAAUUUCUUGUUGAUGACUUUUGUUGCAACAUGCUAAAUUGACUUAUUUGCAGGCCUGUGCCUCACUUGAGGAGGGAUAUGCGCCACCAGUUACGUUUGUUGUGGUACAGAAAAGGCAUCAUACUCGCCUUUUUCCUGCUGAGCACAACAGACGUGAUCUGACGGAUAGGAGUGGAAAUAUUUUACCAGGUUCCAAGUUUGCUUUGUAUUAUUAAUCUUUAUUUUCUAUUUGCUUCUUUUGAGUAUUCACAAUGGGUGGGAACCAUGUUGUUGCUUCACCUUGUCUUUGAUGAAUACUUUUGGGAUGUUCUUGUGUUAGGAACUGUUGUCGAUACUCAAAUUUGUCACCCUACAGAAUUUGAUUUUUACCUCAACAGCCAUGCAGGAAUUCAGGUAAAAAAAAAAGAAAAUAAGUUUGCUCUUUCAAUCCAAAUAUUUUUCAUCCAGACUUGUUAAACAAUGCCCCCCCCCCCCCCCAAAUUUUUUAAUUUGUUGGACUGAUUAAGGUGUUUGUUCCAGGGAACCAGUCGCCCAACUCACUACCAUGUAUUGUUUGAUGAGAACCGUUUUACUGCAGAUGGCUUGCAAGUGUUAACAAAUAACUUGUGUUACACGUAAUAUGUUUACCUUCUCUAUAACCGGAUUUAAUAUUGCAUUGUUGAAGAAUUUAUCUUUCGAAUGGUUAUUUUGUAAGUUUUUGACUCGUGGCCCAUUUUCAGGUAUGCAAGGUGUACUCGAUCAGUUUCAAUAGGUCUGACGCUUCGUACUUCUAUUGUUUUACUAAAAAUAUUUUGAGUCAAUGAAUUAUUAUGAUUCUGGCUAGCAUUGAUUGAUUUUUUUUUCUUUUUAUUUUUUGUAUUGGCUGUUUUCAUAUGGCAGUGCCUCCUGCAUAUUAUGCACAUUUAGCAGCUUUUCGGGCUCGUUUUUAUAUCGAAGACGAAACAUCUGCGGGUGGAUCCACAGGAGGGACUAGGAGCACGGCGGAGGGGAGUUUGGCUAUCCGGCCUCUUCCCGUCAUCAAGGAUAAUGUGAAAGAUGUAAUGUUUUACUGCUGAAAGUAGUCUCCAGCAUCAAUCCUCUUUGUCAUGGUUUUCAUCAAGGCUUGACGUGUUUUGGUAUAUGGAGUACCAGCGUGGUGCCCUUUUUGGACAGUACUGUUAUUUUGGGAGUAGUUUCAAAUUGGACAUCAAGGGUAGAAACUGAUUCUCCUUAUUUUAAAAUGUUAGCUGCAUAUUGUCCUGGUUAAUGCCUUGUAAAUUUAAAUGCCAAAAAACUUCAUUUCUUAUUUUAAAAAUGUUUCUGAUUCUCCUUAUUUUAAAAAUGUUAGCUGCAUAUUGUCCUGGUUAUUUGAUCUCACUGCACUCUUUUUUAAAUUAACAUUUUUAUUCUGAAAACAUAAUUGGAUCAAUUAUAUAUUUGAUCUUAUUCUCUCUCUCGACAAAAUGGAGAAAAAUAUUAAAUAAGUUGUUUUUACAAAAUUUAACAAACACUAUUUUUAUUAAAAAUUAUGAAAUAAGUAAGUUAUUGAAUUUCAACUGCAAUCCUAAACUGACUCUUAGUUAAUCAAAUAUUUUUUGUGACUUUUGAAAAUUAGUGAAUUAAAAUAAUAAACUAUAAUUAAAAAAUGGUUGUAAGAAGGAAAAUUAAAGUUUGCCUCAAUUGUUUGAUUAGGCGAAUGAUGCAUGUAUACGGUUGGGUACAUGUAGUUGUUUUUAACUAAGAUGUAUAAAUAGAUGAACAAAUACUGCAAAAGCGAAAGUAUUGAAUUAAAAAAUGUCAUAAAAAUUUCUUCAAAGUAUUAAACUGUGUAUGCUUCUUCUUUUUUUCUUUUUUUUUACUUUCAAUUACUCGUUAUUCUUCUUGUACGGUGGCUUCCGAAUUACUUUCUUUACUUUUUGAGAGCUCAAGCAAUUCCGUUGCUUCUUCCACUUUUGCAGCCAAUGACUCAAAAGUGAAUCCAACAGCACGAGCAGCUCGGAGUGAUCCAUUUCCAAAAGCAUCUCAGUAAUCUUUGGUGAAAGACCACAUUGUCCAAAAGUUACUUACAUGUAAAUAUCAUUAAACCAAAGCUUAAAGCAGGUGAAAAUUAUUAGUACAUUCGCAGAAGGUUAAAACUUCAAUUUACUCCCUUAUUUUGAAUAACAAUCUACUAUUUACCUCAAAAAUAUAAAAACAUCAAUUUAUCUCUUUUAUCAUUAAAAAGACAAAAAAAAAUAUUAUUAUCAACACCCUUUUCGUUUGUCCUAAUCUUUUGAACGAAAAUGAAAGUAAACUGAAGAUUAUCAUUUUACCCGAAGAUGAAUCAAAAUUGACCCUUAACAAAAAAUAUGAGUAAUCACCUUGAGUUUCUUCAGCAGCGGGUAGAGUCUUUGGCCAAGAAUAUCUUUCCUUUCAUUAGGGAAAGCAGCAGCAAGGAUGCUGCUCAAAUUUUCAUUGUAAGCAGCAGCUCUUUAAUUCCCAUUUGUCAGCUCUUUGAUUCCCAUUGGAAAAUUUAGCAUGCCCAUUCAUCCUUCCUCCUCUAUAUUGCCUUACAGAAUUAGGAGCCUGUAAUACAAAAUUUUUAAUCCCAAAGUUAAGCAGAAGCGCAACAAUUCCAAAUACAUCCUAAACUUGAUUUUACGUUACCAUUAGAAACAAAGGAGAAGGAGGAGGAGGUGAAAAUCCAUUAGGAAUCAUGCCACCAUGCUUAAACCCUGGUGCUUGGUACACUUGUAAGGCACGUUGAUAAAGGGUCGGAUGCAUAGGAAAAAUGGUGCUACCAAGUCCUGGCCCUUGCUUUGCAUACAUCAUUUGUAGGUACGAAGUUCUUUCUCACUUUGUUUAAGCAAUGGCCACAUACAAUGGCUUUUGAUGAAACUAAGAUGCCAUUCAGAGUAUUUAUGGCUCCAUUGGCUUCAUCAGGAUUAGAGAAACACACAAAUCCGAACCCUUUGCUAAUACCUCGAUUAGUUCUCAUGAUCUUAACAGAGCUGCGUCAUCAUUUAUGUUCUUCACGUACAAAUUUUUAUCCUACACUUGACAAACAUCUUGAUUUUAGCAGGAUUUAACAAACGAAAAUAACGAUAUUAAUUGAGAGAGCAAAUAACGAAAACAAAAAUUGUAUAAUUCGGCACGCUCUCGUUGCAUUCUCUCAAAUUAAGCGCGUAAAAUCGCCUUUCGUACCGUUAGCAUCUUUUGAGAUAACCAAACUUAUUUAAUAUUUUUCCAAACUCGAAGAAUUUCGUACAGGUUGUUAAAUGAAGCACUUUCUUGAAUCCUGCCAGCCCUUCUGAUGAAUGGACCAACAUAGCUGCCAAUUAAUGCCGGUGAACAUUAUGAAUGUGACAAAUAGUAAAUAAAUUAGCAUACAUACAAAGAUGGCACAUACAGGUACAGCUCCAUUCCUUCAACGGUAGCAGCAUAAAGCUUCUCAAUAGCAUUGAGUGCAGAUUCUGGCGUUGAGUAUUGGACAAAGCCAUAGCCUUUGCUUUUCCCAUCUUGAGACACAACAACCUUGGAGCUUGGAGGACUGAAUGUCUCCGAAUUUGGAAAAUAUUUGAUGGAGCUUCCAAUUGUCUAUUGUACUAGCCAAGUUCUGCCAAGUGUAUAUAUAUAUAGGAAACAUCAGACAAAAUGAUGAUCAACUAACUAAAUGUUUUCAUAUCCCAUGAAAAAAUUUUGUAAUUAAUUACCUUAACGAACACUUUUCCAACUCAAUCUGGCUUCAGAAUUGGGUGUCGACUACAUUACUCUAAUUGCUUUACCAUUCAGUAUUGUAUAAUUCAAUGCCUCUAUAGCCUUUGUUGCUGAUAAAAAAAUUAUAAAAGUUAAAGACGUUCAUUAGGAAUAUAUUUCAAUUGUUAUGAAAGUAAGCCGGCAAAUCGUUUCGAAUUUAAUUAGAAGAACAAUGUCGCGUCUGGCUUUUUUUUUUAUUAUUAUUACACGAGACAAUUUCUCAAGAGUACAACUCAUAUUACAUUAGAUUACAAUUUAUAUUUAUAAAUCAGAUUAUUACUGGGACUAGUUUACAUCAAUUCUUAUGAAACACUGUCCGAACUUUUACUCUCUCUAACAUUCGAAGGAUGUUUACUCUACUCACAUUUCGAAAUGAAAAAAACUGUCUUCACUCAAUUAAAGAAGGAAAUUAAAUCCCCAACAAUGCAUUGUGGGAGCUUAAACCCAUGACUUCACAAUUGUAAGGUUUGGGUUCUAAUCACUGGCUCGCCCCAUGCAAGGGUUUUGAUUAUCGCUCUUGACCAACUCCCAAACUUGUAGCCCUAACUCUAAUUAACAUUUCCUGAAACCCUAGGGUUUAGUCAAGCUGUUUUCAAGUAAUUUUAUUUAACUGACUAAUCAUUGCUCUAGUUCAAAUUCUGGGAAAGACAGAUGGUUAAAGAAUAGAUUGGUGUACGUUCUGUUUCCCGUAUUAUGGAAUUAUCUGCAAUAAUUCACUUUAUACAACAAAGAGUUGUACACAUAUAACUAAAAGUACAUAUUUGAUUCAAUUAAUUUAACUUAGGUAAUUAAAAUAGUUUUAGGAAAAUAUGUAUAUAUAAAUUAUGAACAUGCAUGCACGUACCACAGUGAAAGGAAUGAAAGUUGGCGUAGCCAUAGCGGAGUGAACGUCGAUGGAAGCUAUCAACGCAGAGCAUAGCCGAAGCAAGUCCUUCGAGUUUUGAGAACGAGAAGGUCUGAAUGAGCUGUUGUUCUGUUACUGUGGAGUCGAGGUCUCCAACGUAGAGCGAGAACAGUGUCCCCAGAAUUGCAGAGUCAUUAUUAUUAUGAGCACGAAGAGAAACUUCCAUGUUUAAUGAAUGAAUCAAUAUCAGAGAUGACACAAUAUUAAUUGCUUGAGUUCAUCAGAGCAACAAACUAUGUGUAUAGUUAAUUAUUUAUUAAGAACAUAACUAAGAAGUUGUGAUAACGUGUAAUUCCUUUCCUCUUUAGGAAUUAGCUUUCUUAUUGAAUUCUGAUUUUAUUAUAGAAGAAACGACUAUAAGGGGGUGCCAAGCUUAAGCCCGCGCAUUGGCGGAAUGCAGAAGCUACACUAUCUCUCUCUAUAUAUAGUAGAACCUCUAAAUAGACAUACUCUAUAUAGAAAUAAUCUCUUCAUGGUAAUAAAAAAUUGUGAUCACAACUUAAAACUAGUUAUAAUUAAGAAUAAACUCCACAUUAUAAUAAGUUAUAUUUUUUGUAGAUCUCGUCUUAAAUAAACUUACCUUCACAUAGUAAUAAUAUUUCAAAAAUAUAUGUCAUGUUACGUUAAAUAAUUAAGAUAUAACAAAAUAUCUUUUUAAAGUUACAACCACAUCCUUCAACUUGCAGGUAUAUAUUAAUUGGUCAGCAUAGGCAUUUUCUUGUUAAAACUAAAAUAUUUCUAACUUCUCAAAUAUAUUAAACUGUCUUUAGUAAUAAAUUACAUUAGAAACAUUUUAGUGACAUAAAAUUUUAUUAAAAUGUAAAUAAUCCCACUUGCUACGAAUCUUUUUAUGUUUGAAUCGAAAAGUUUCGGUAACUUUCUUGUCAAAAAUAAAAAAUAACAACUCGUUUAUGUUAUUCGAUUCCCUUUCUUUUUAUUUUUUAUUUUUUGAGAGAGAUAUUCGAUUCCCUUUCAAAUGCAAACAAAAAGACAAAUUCUUGACCAAAGUCAAUUAAGUUGGUAGCUUGGAUAUUUGAAUAGGAGUCUUCACGUGCUUCAUUUUUAAGAAUCGUCAUCAUUCUUCUUUCCAAAAAGGAAAUAAGGAAAAAUAAUAAUAAUAGUAGAGCGAAGAAACAAAGAAAACUAUGAUUCGAAGUCAAAAGAAUUCAAUUUUUGAUGAUCAGUAUUCGUUUAAUUUUUAUAUUUUAAAAUAUAUCUUAAAAUAUUUUUGUUGUUAAUUAUGUUACACUUUUUAGUAUUGCAUUUUAUUUUUUUUGACAAUAAUACAUUAAUAAAAAUAAAUAUUAAUUUAUCGAAUUAAACGUAAAGGUAAAAUAAUGAUAAUACUACUAUUAUUAUUUAUUUUAUUUGUAAACUAUUAUUAUUUUUACUUUUGUGGUUAAUUAGAUAAAUAACAUAUUUAAAUCUUAUUAUUGUAUUGUUACAAUAAUAUAUUUUAUUAUGAUAAUUUAAUAUAUUUAAAUUAAUAAAUAAUAUUAUUUAUUUUUUUUACAAAUUAUUAUUACUUGUUUAUGGUUAAUUCAAUAAAUUAAUAUAUUUCUUUUCUUUGAUGUAUUAUUACAAGAGUAUUAUUGUAGAAACAAAUAAAAUGUAAGAGUAAAGGGUGUAACAUAAUUAACAACAAAAAUAAUAGAUUAAUAUUUUUAUAUUAAUAUCUCCAAGAUUGUUACAAGGUAUUAUUGUCAAAGCAAAACAAAAAUAAGGACAAUAAUAAAACAUAUUAUAAUAUCUAACUAUAGUAACUGAACAUAUACUUAACCUAAAAUGUAAUAUCUAAAUGAACACUUUACCUACUUCAUUAACAUAAUCAUAUAUACAUAAUUUAUAGUCAUGUAAUGUGCCGUUGAUCAAAACUUAUGAUAUAAUAAUAAUAAUAAUAAUAUAAUAAUAAUAAUAUAAUAUAAUAAUAUAAUAAUAAUAAUAAUCUUACACCAUCUAUCAGUUAAUGACAAGUCACGUGUCGUAUUAUUUAAGACCCAUUACGUUUUUUUAAUUAUGUAUUGAUAGUAUUAUUAACAAAACAAUUAUUAUUAUUUUUUCUUUUCCCUAGCUUCCACUAUUUUAUCUAUUUAUUUUUAUUUUUAUUUAUUUUUAUUUGGAAUGAAGCUUCCACCUUAAACAAACGAAGAAAGUGCUGACCAGCUGGUAAGAUUCCUCAAAAGUGUAAGCAAGACGACGCACUUUCGAUUGUUAAAAUGAAUCAGAAGAGCUAAAGCGGUUUCUUUAUGCGUUCCUUAAUGUUGUAGAUGUAGUUCUCUUUUUUCUUUUUUCAUAAACUUGCACCCACAUGGAGGUAAGCGAAACUGGCUUUUGCCUUUCGUUCGUUCAUCAAAUUUUAAUAUCACUUAUUACGUCGCUUAAUUGAAAUCUCAUGUAUUUAUUUAAAAAAUAAAAAUAAAUAAUUUAAGAAGUUGAUACAAAUAAAUGAGAAGAUAAAAAUUAGUUGCAUUAAUAAGAUAUUUUAUUUUCAAGUGAGUUUUUAAUCAAAGAUUCUCAAUUUUAAAAAUUAAAAAAUAAAUUAUAAUAUAUUAAAAUUUAUUGAUAACAUAACAUCUUCAAAAUAUUCUAGUAUUUUUUAUAACAGAACAUGAAACUAAGUAAUUUAGUGAUCCUCAAAUAAUUUUUAUUAAUUUAAAAAAAUAAUUAAUACACUCUUAAAAUAUUAUAAUAAUUUUUAUAAUAAUACAUCAAUAAAGUAUUCGAAUGAUAAUAUUAUUAAUAUUUAUUGAUAAUGGCACCUCAAAGUUCAACUCUAAUUCCUUCUGAGCUACGCAAUUAAGUAAAGUAAAUAGCAAGAAAGUCACAUCAACGCGCUUUGUGACACAACAACAUGACGUUUAAAGAGCCUCGCGGCAGAUGCAAAUAUCGAUUGACUGAAAAGAAAGCUCAAAUUGACAAUUCGUUUAACCCAACAGUUUAAAAUACUGAGUGAGAUCUUGGCAUAAAACAGUGAAAGCUAAAGCAUAAAGAAAAGAAUGUUAAGGAAAAGAGAAAAAAAAAAAAAAAAGAGAAUGAAGAAGAUGCUUUAUCUCUCUUUUUGCGUCAUUUAGAACGUAUGCCAACCAUGCACGUCCACGUCAUUUUAAUCCACGAAGAGAUAAAUAGAUCACUAACAGACAGAGUCAAUAUAUAUUCUUCAUGUCAAUUAUGGCGAGAGCUUUUCCUUUUUCUUUGGGACACAUGGUCUGUGAGAUAUGCUCGCGGAUUAAAAUUCAAAUUAAUUUCUUUGACCUCUAUCUAAAAUAUUUAGGAUUUAAAUCGGUUAAAUAAAUCAAUUUUAAAAAUCACUCAAAUUAAUCCUCUUAAAAAUAAGAGAGCCAUGUUUACUUUAGGAGACCACUGAUAUUAAAUUACUAAAAUGAUAACAUCAAAAUAAAAUUGGUAUUAUUGUUCGUGCCGUCACAAUACCAUUGUAGUACACAAAAUGACGACAUUGUUCAUACUAAAAUACUUUUCUUUUCUUGGUAGUUAAAUAUUAUUUUUCUUUUUUAUUACACGUGAAAGUAUUUUUAUUAUUAGCAAUAAACAUGCACAAUAAGAAGUGAAUAGAAAUUAACAAUAUUUUAAAUUUAAAUAAUUAUCGUAGACUCUCGUAGACUUAGCUAAACUUUUACUGCAUGCGCGCGCACACACACAACAUAAAAAUGACACCGCGAAUUAAAAAAACUGUAAAUUUUGCGAGGGCUCGAUUUUAAAUUUGCACAGAAAUCAGACAAAUUUCAGAUCAGUCCCUUAUGUUUCUCUGAAAUUUAUUCCAUCCCCCCCGACUAUCGAGUACAAGGCGCCAUCAUAUCCUCUGUAGCAUUUCUAGAAUCUUGGAAGUGGUCCCGCGCAUUUAGUCCAUCGAUCCUUGUCACCUGAUGGGAGUAAAACUCCUCGGUCAAAAGGAUUUGGUAUUCUCGCGGGCCCCACAAAGGAAAUUAAAAAACUAAAAAGCCAAAAAUAGGCUGCGCAUGGAAUACCAUGAAGCGGAAGUCCCUUCCUUCGGAAGUUGUUUGCAAGAGAAGACUUGGAAAUUAUCUACAACGUGCUAUCCCACCGUGUCUCCCGUAGACGCCAGCUUCGAUUGAUCCAUCCCAACUUUGUCUUUAUCAAAUUAUAAACGUCCCGAAGAAGCCCUUCUUCGCUCGACACGUGCACGUGCAUCAAAGGUUUCGUGUUAGCUUUGCGUUAUUUGCGAUUUUAAAGAAAGUGCCGUUGUACGGUUCUGCUGUUCCUUCAUCGCUUACGUGGAAAGGCCUGCGUGCUGACUCCUCGCAGACAGCCCCACUAAUUUCUUUAAAAAAAUAUAAAGUAAUGGAUACGGACUUAGCAAACCGGAUGUGCACAUGUGUUUGAGAAAUCAUAUAUAUAUAUAUAUAUUUUUUUCCUCAGUAAAAGCGUGACCAAAUACUGUCGAUUUUCAAUAAUUUUUUUAUUAAAAAAGAUAUAAUUUUCUUUACGUUGUGUAAAUGGGGUCCACAGGCGGACUGCCAAACUAGAUGCCUUGGGAAUCGUCAACCCUUCAGGCUGGAAAACGCCCCAAGGAGCGCCGCCUAAAAGCUAUCAUUAAUUUGUCGUCAUACGCGCCCAGGGAAAGCGUGUGUGGGAGCAAAUAUUCAAACGCCGGGACUAUUGGACACGUGUGAUAGUUUAAAGAGGCCGUAGCUCUGAGCUUUGCGGGAAUAAAAGGCUGAUGGUUCAGCACGCGCUCAUGGAAAUUUUUCACUCGUUCCAAAUUCCAAUCACCUUCUGUUCUUCCACAGCGACUAUGUCCAUUGACCCCCAGACACCUGAUGAUUAUUUUCGCGGUCUUUUUCAUUUCACAAAUUUUACCCUUUGCCAUCUUCACUUGGUGGGUGAAAUUUGAUUUUUGGGUACAAUGCAGAGUGGAUUUAAUCAUAAACUUCUUGAAUUAGAAAUAGUAAAAAUAUCCACCGUCCACUUAUUUUUUUUUUCUUUUAAAUAUAUAAUUCUUUUUUUUACUGAAAUUCACCUAAAGUUACAUUUUAUUUUACUUUUCCAGUUUUGUUUUAAAUUCGUUAAGAAAACUAACGGAAACUUAAAAAAAUGAUAAUUUUACCUCCAAAACGAAAAUUAUAAUUUCACCAUAAAAAAAAGCCAAAAACAAUAAGAUUUAAUGAUGAAUAUCAUUAUUGGUAUGUUAAUGAAGUAUAAAAAAAUCUUAACUACUAGAUAUUAUAACUCAAUGAAUAAUAAAAUUCUACUUAUUUUAAAUUCAAUUGAGCUAUUUUUAAUACUACUGUUAUAAUUUAGCAUUCUAAUUACAUACAUAUUUAAAAAAAAACCUUGCAUUUGAUGGUUGUGGAAUUAAUUUCUUUGUUGACCGAUGGGGAAAAUAAUUAGAUUUAAUUUGAUUAUUUUUGGUAAUUUUUAGGAUGAAAUUAUAAUUUUCGUUUUGGGGGGCAAAUUUGUCAUUUUUUAAGUUUCUGUUAGUUUUCUUAACGGAUUCCAAACGGAAGUGGAAAAAUGAAACAAAAUGUAUCUUUAGGUGGAUUCCAACAAAAAAAAAAUUGUGUAUUUUUUAAAAAUUAGAAAAAACGGGUGGACAGUGGAUAAUUUCUCUUAAAAAUAUUAUCCGAAGGAUAAUUUUAAGUUUGGUCCUUUUACAUAAUGUAGAUUUGUGGUGGUAUUUUUUUUUUUGUGAUGGUUAAAAGAAUAUAGGCACACAUUAGACAAUAGUAUAAAGUUAAGAGUAUUGGACUAUUCUUUUUAAAAUUAAACUAGUCUUUUGUUUGGUGCCGCAAAGAUAAGUGAGGAUUAUCAAUUAUGUACCCUAAGACCACACCAUUUAAUCUUGGGCACAUACUUUUAUAAAGUACAAUGAAAAUUUUUAUCCCAUGGGGACCAUAGGGAUAAUGCGGGAUAAUUUUUUUCAUGCUUAAAAAUAAUUGUAGAAUAACUACACGAUGAAAUAUCUAUAACUAUUAUUACAUUAUAUUAUCACAUUGAUUAAAUAUUUAUUUACUUUAAUUUUCAUUUUACUUAACUAAUAAUAAAAAUGUUAGAUUUAUAUUUUGUGUGUUUGUGUGUGUAUAUGUAUGUAUAUUGUGUGUAUAUGUAUCUAAACAUACACAAAUGAUCAAUUACACACAUUAUUGUACGCGAUGAGCUAUGUGUCAUCUAAUCAUGGCUGUGUGGCACAUCUAAUUAGGUGUGUAUAAUAAUAAUAAACAACUUAAAUUAAUAUUUAGGUUUUUUAAUUUAAUAAUUUGAAUAUUCAUAUUAUUAAAUCUAUAUUUAUAAAUUUACUCUAAUAAAUAAAUACUUUUAAAUGUUUAAUAAUCAAUAAAUCAAUAUUAAUAUACUUCAUUUUCUUAUAAAUUAUUUUAAUAAAAUCCUACAAUAGACCAAACAUGAGAUAAUACUAAAUAUAAAUAAAACCCAAUCUUAUUCUAUCCCGCUAAACCCAUCUUAUAAAAAAAAGUAAUUUAAGUUCUAAUGGUGGCGGGAGCUGGAAACCUGAAAGGCCGGAAGCCCGGCUGAAGCUCUUACCUCAAUUUCCAACUGAAAAUUAAUAAUUAAUAAUUAAUGAUGAACGCUCAUAAACAUAAAAAAAAAUAUCAUAAAAAUGAACGAUCUUUCCUUUGCCCUCCAACGGGAGCAACUGAGCAAGUAGUAAGUGGAACCUCGCCACUUUCCUUGCAAAACGGGAGCAAGUAGCAAGUGUGUAGUGGCUAGGGAUGGCAAUGGGGCAGAUAUGGGUUGGAUCUACUCUGCUCCAUAUCUAAAUCCAUAAUAAAAAUCAAGAUCCGUAUCUGCUCCAGAUCCGUUAUGAAUUCAUAUUUUUCGUUCCAUAUUCAGAUCCAAAAAAGAAACAAAUAUCUAUAUCUGCUCCAAAUCCGAAAAAAAAUUAAAAUCCAAAUCCGCUCUAGAUCCGUCAUGAAUUCUAAAAUUCCGUAAUAAAAAAGUAAUAAUUUUUUAGAUUGAAAAUUGAAGGCUAAAAUGUAUUGAUAACAAAUAAAUUAUAUAAUUUUUCUCAAAAAUAUAAUAAAUAUUGUUGCUUAUACUUCUACACCAAAACAACAAAUAAGAAAGAUAAUAAAAUAUCAUUCAAAAGUAAUUACAGGAGUAAGAUCAAUCUAAUAUUCUAUUGUCUCCUUCAUCAUUCUAGUAUCCAUGAUACACAUACCCUCAUUCCUACAACAUUAGAUAAUAACAUAUAAAUUAAAUAUGAUUUAUAUUCAGUCCUUUAUUAUUUUUAUUAUGACCAUAUUUGACUAAAUAUAUGAAUAACUAUAUUCCUUAAAAAUUAUUUGGCCAAUAUGAUAAAAUAAAUUACCAAGUUAUAUUACUUGGAUUGCAAUUUGAAUAUUGCAUGUACAUGCUUUGAGGCUGGCUGACUUUUAAAUUUACAAAACUAAUCUUUAAGUUUUAAGAGUUUAAAUUCAUGGUAAAUACUACUAAUAUGCUAUGAAUAAAAUUUAUUAUCAUUAUCAUUAUCAUUCCACAAUUAUUAAGAAACUUUUAAAAUAAAAUAAAAUUAAAAGAUGAGUGGAUAUGGAUAUGUAUUUAGAUAUUAAAAUAGAUUCAUAUCUGCUCCAAAUCCGUCUUAGAUCCGCACAUCGAUAUCCAAAUCUGAUCCAAAUCCGAUCCGAUUGAAUUUGGAUCACAUGGAUCUUGGAUCAAAUCCAAUCAAUUGCCAUCCCUAGUUACGGCAACAAAAGCGCGUGCUACAUUUACACGUCAUUAGUAUAAAAAGCUAGGGGUAAAUCCGUCAGAGGACCAAACAGUCGCCAUACUGCCACGAAGCAAUAAAAUAAAAAGAAUUUCCAUUGCACGCCUUGCAUUUAAUUCGAUCUCUCUCUCUCUCUCUCUCUCUUAAACCUUGGUCCUUAUUAUUUAUAUACACACCCCCUAUUCCUCCCUCCUUCUCUCUGUUUCUUCUGAAGUCUGUCGCUCUCUCGCUUUAUUUGUGUGACCAUCACUUCACUUCGGUUCCUCAAAAUUUUCUAUCUCAUUUCACCUUUCUGUUUUCGACAAUGUCUCGACGUGGUGGCGGUGGUCGUAGGCCGGAUUCUCGCCGUGACCAGCCGACUCAGGCACCGGCGCCGUCAUUCCAGCGGGGUGGCGGUGGAGCCGCUGGACCACGGGGCCGAGGUCGUCAAGGUCAACGUGGGGGUGCUGGUCGUGGAUCGCAUUCCGGCUCCGGUGCAGCCCCUUCCUCACCACACACCGCUUCGACUUCGACGGCGCCGGCUCCUUCGUCUCCGUCUGUUUCUGCUUCUGCUUCUGCUCCUUCUUCGUCUUCAGUCUCUACUCUUGUCGAAGAAACGGAGCAGAAACUGACAUUGGCGGCACCAGCGGCGGCUACUCUUCCGCCUUCGUCGUCGCAGGCGAUGAGAUUUCCGGUGAGGCCGGGAUUUGGAACUGUUGGCAAAAAAUGUGUUGUCAGAGCAAAUCACUUUAUGGUGCAACUUGCCGAGAGAGACAUUCAUCACUAUGAUGUAAGUCUACUUUUAAUUUUGUUAUUUUUGAAGACGUUUUGCUGUUUUUAUUUUUUAUUUUUCGUUUUUCUCGUCAAUUUUGAUUUUAUUUAAGAUUCACCAUUCGUGAGCGUCGAAUUCGAAGGUGUCGGGGUUUUGUUGAUAUUUAAAAAAUAUACAUAUUCUUUUGCUUAUUUAUUUAUUUAUUUUUUAAGGUUUCAAUUACUCCAGAGGUGACGUCAAAAAAAAUCAACAGACAAAUUAUUUCUCAGCUGAUUAAUUUAUAUCGGCUGACUCACUUGGGUGAACGAAUGCCUGCCUAUGAUGGUAUGAAGAGCAUUUACACGGCAGGGCCGCUGCCUUUUGAAUCGAAGGAAUUCAUUAUCAAGUUACCUGAUAGUGAUCCUCGUCCCAGCUCAUCUACCAGGCCGAG
Molecule: long non-coding RNA, 18412 nt
Filed under: Citrus x clementina
Lineage: Eukaryota; Viridiplantae; Streptophyta; Magnoliopsida; Sapindales; Rutaceae
Description: Citrus clementina (C. clementina) long non-coding RNA (CCLE_LNC001112)
Source: RNAcentral